Molecule: ribosomal RNA, 421 nt
Filed under: uncultured bacterium
Lineage: Bacteria
Description: bacterial SSU rRNA
Rfam family: Bacterial small subunit ribosomal RNA
Source: RNAcentral
UAAGGAAUAUUGGUCAAUGGACGCAAGUCUGAACCAGCCAUGCCGCGUGAAGGAUGAAGGUCCUCUGGAUUGUAAACUUCUUUUAUCUGGGACGAAAACGGGAUUUUUAUCUCAAUUGACGGUACCAGAGGAAUAAGCACCGGCUAACUCCGUGCCAGCAGCCGCGGUAAUACGGAGGGUGCGAGCGUUAUCCGGAAUUAUUGGGUUUAAAGGGUGCGUAGGCGGACUAAUAAGUCAGUGGUGAAAGCCUGCAGCUUAACUGCAGAAUUGCCAUUGAUACUGUUAGUCUUGAGUACAGUUGAGGUAGGCGGAAUGUGUCAUGUAGCGGUGAAAUGCUUAGAUAUGACACAGAACACCGAUUGCGAAGGCAGCUUGCUAAGCUGUAACUGACGCUGAGGCACGAAAGCGUGGGGAGCAAACA